GUGUGUCCACAGUUUUGACUUGGAGUGUAUAUGUCUGACUACUCUUUCUGGACUUUAAUUUUGCGUUUAAUACCAUCAUUCCACAGACACUAGCCACUUUUAUUGUUGGGACUCAGACAACUGGUGCUGGAAUUCUUGACAGACAAGCGUGAGUCUGUGAAAAUUUCCAGUGUCUUGUCCUCCAUCAUCAUCCUCAAUAUUAGCUCACUGCAUGGAUGUGUAUUGAGCACACCAUACACACCACUCAAAAAAUAUUCACAAAUGUUUAGAUUGAGAUUUUCAUAAAUAUAUUUAUGUAUUAUUCAAAUUUCAACCUCUUGAAUUAGUGAAUACAACUGCUCAGUUCAUCAGUACAUCAGCCAGAGACUUAGUCAGUACCUUUGUGUUGAAUUAAAUAACUUAAUGAUUAGAUAACCCAUUAAACAUUCAUAUAUUUCAUGAAUUAUGUCAUAAUUAUAAGAUAAUGACCACAUUAAAAAUGACCAUAAUAUGUUAUGCUAAAUUUAUGGAAAAAAGACCAUUAUAAACAAUAUAAUUAUAUUUCUUAAAUUGUAAUUGUUUGAUGAAGAUUUCAUGACAGAACUGUACCAUUCAAGUUUAUAAAAACCAAGUAGCCACAACCGCUUUAUUUCCCCAUAAAUGUCACAGUUUGCACAGUUACAAAUCCUUUAUUGACAUAAAUCACCAAGAAUUUUUAUUACCUAAAUUAAUAUAUGUUAAUAUGUAAUGGUAUACACUGUAGCAGUAUUUUUCUAAUCAGAAAAACUCUUCUAAGUAAAGGAGUAAAUAAAACAUCAACAAGCACACACACACACACACACUCACACAAUGUACUGUUUGUGUUUAUGUGUUUAAUAUUCUUGUGUAUGUGAUCAAAACAUUUUUGUUUUGUUUUGAUCACAUUAGCUAAUAUGAUCAAAAUAAUAUUACUGUCAGCAGAGAAUCCAUGAGGUGGGAGCACAACUUGCCAGUAGACCUGUUCAUGUCUGUGACUGGUUACAUGCUGCCAACACCAGAUCAUACAUGUGGAAGCACUAGCUAGAUUUGGAAACCUCAGGUUUAGUUUCAGAACAGAACGGAUCAUACACUAUGCAGGUCUGCCUUUUUCUGGUCUCUUUGAUAAGGAAGUUAAACACAGCCUAAACAACUGCAACACUGGAACUUAAAUAACUGCAACAAACUGACAAGUUGUGCUGCCUACACAAGGAUCCAGGUUUCACUACUGCAGUCAUUAUUGCAUCAAGACUGAAGAGCUCAACUGUGCUCUUGCUUAGGCCUCACACCAGGAGUAAAGCUUUUCACUUUAUAAUAUCACUCAGAGAACAUUAUAGGCCAAGAUGUUAUGCAUCUAAGAAGUAUACAAUUAGAGAAAGUAACAAAAACAUCUCAGAUUAUGUCCUUUCACAAAUACAUGAUAUACGUUACAUAGGUCAGCAAAUGAAAACAGAAACACAAGUUCAAUUUAUUGUUUCUCUUACAAUUUUCUGAAGCUCAUCAUUUACUCCUUUCAUGUAUCUUUUCCGAGUUCUCUAUUCUUGCAGCAAAUCCAGCUUCUUGUCUAUGUAAGCUCUGGUUUUUUUGAUCAUGUAAAAUGCAAUGUCAAUUAUUUCCUGCAGUGGUGGAGAAUCAUAUGAUAAUAACAUUGCUUCUUCCAAUUGAGGAACAAAUUCUUUCAUUUUUUCAUUGAAUUGUUUUGAGGUGAUUCUCAUUUUGUACUUGGAUUCUUCCUAAAGGAGAAAAAUAAAACUUUUCACAUAUAGCAUUUCUACUCAUAUUAUGGAAUUUAUGAGAAUAAACUGGAGACUGACUGACCCACCUUCAGUCUCUCUUCCUCUUCUAUCGCUGUUUGAAGGGUUUUC
Molecule: long non-coding RNA, 1859 nt
Organism: Oreochromis aureus
Lineage: Eukaryota; Metazoa; Chordata; Actinopteri; Cichliformes; Cichlidae
Source: Ensembl